Molecule: ribosomal RNA, 805 nt
Filed under: uncultured bacterium
Lineage: Bacteria
Description: bacterial SSU rRNA
Rfam family: Bacterial small subunit ribosomal RNA
Source: RNAcentral
AGAGUUUGUUCCUGGCUCAGGAUGAACGCUGGCGGCGUGCUUAACACAUGCAAGUCGAACGGGAAACCUUUUAUUGAAGCUUCGGCAGAUUUGGCUGGUUUCUAGUGGCAGACGGGUGAGUAACGCGUGGGUAACCUGCCUUAUACAGGGGGAUAACAACCAGAAAUGGUUGCUAAUACCGCAUAAGCGCACAGGACCGCAUGGUCCAGUGUGAAAAACUCCGGUGGUAUAAGAUGGACCCGCGUUGGAUUAGCUAGUUGGCAGGGCAACGGCCUACCAAGGCGACGAUCCAUAGCCGGCCUGAGAGGGUGAACGGCCACAUUGGGACUGAGACACGGCCCAGACUCCUACGGGAGGCAGCAGUGGGGAAUAUUGCACAAUGGGGGAAACCCUGAUGCAGCGACGCCGCGUGAAGGAAGAAGUAUCUCGGUAUGUAAACUUCUAUCAGCAGGGAAGAUAGUGACGGUACCUGACUAAGAAGCCCCGGCUAACUACGUGCCAGCAGCCGCGGUAAUACGUAGGGGGCAAGCGUUAUCCGGAUUUACUGGGUGUAAAGGGAGCGUAGACGGACUGGCAAGUCUGAUGUGAAAGGCGGGGGCUCAACCCCUGGACUGCAUUGGAAACUGUUAGUCUUGAGUGCCGGAGAGGUAAGCGGAAUUCCUAGUGUAGCGGUGAAAUGCGUAGAUAUUAGGAGGAACACCAGUGGCGAAGGCGGCUUACUGGACGGUAACUGACGUUGAGGCUCGAAAGCGUGGGGAGCAAACCAGGAUUAGAUACCCUGGUAGUCCACGCCGUAGACGAUGAA